GACGAACGCUGGCGGCGUGCCUAAUACAUGCAAGUUGAGCGCUGAAGGUUGGUUCUUGUACCAACUGGAUGAGCAGCGAACGGGUGAGUAACGCGUGGGGAAUCUGCCUUUGAGCGGGGGACAACAUUUGGAAACGAAUGCUAAUACCGCAUAAAAACUUUAAACACAAGUUUUAAGUUUGAAAGAUGCAAUUGCAUCACUCAAAGAUGAUCCCGCGUUGUAUUAGCUAGUUGGUGAGGUAAAGGCACACCAAGGCGAGGAUACAUAGCCGACCUGAGAGGGUGAGCGGCCAGAUUGGGAAGGAGACACGGCCCAAACGGCUACGGGAGGCAGCAGUAGGGAAUCUGCGGCAAUGGACGAAAGUCUGACCGAGCAACGCCGCGAGAGUGAAGAAGGGUUGCGGAUCGUAAAACGCUGUCGGUAGAGAAGAACGCUGGUGAGGGUGGAAAGCUCAUCAAGGGACGGUAACUAACCAGAAAGGGACGGCCAACUACGUG
This 497-nucleotide ribosomal RNA is filed under the name uncultured bacterium. Its description in RNAcentral is "partial 16S ribosomal RNA". It matches the Rfam family "Bacterial small subunit ribosomal RNA", at positions 28 to 507 of the family's 1533-position model. The record is from RNAcentral.